This 301-nucleotide ribosomal RNA is filed under the name uncultured bacterium. RNAcentral's name for it is "partial 16S ribosomal RNA". It matches the Rfam family "Bacterial small subunit ribosomal RNA", at positions 509 to 807 of the family's 1533-position model. The record is from RNAcentral.
CAGUAGCCGCGGUAAUACGAAGGGGGCUAGCGUUGUUCGGAUUUACUGGGCGUAAAGCGCACGUAGGCGGACUUUUAAGUCAGGGGUGAAAUCCCGGGGAUCAACCCCGGAACUGCCUUUGAUACUGGAAGUCUUGAGUAUGGUAGAGGUGAGUGGAAUUCCGAGUGUAGAGGUGAAAUUCGUAGAUAUUCGGAGGAACACCAGUGGCGAAGGCGGCCCCCUGGACAAAGACUGACGCUCAGGUGCGAAAGCGUGGGGAGCAAACAGGAUUAGAUACCCCGGUAGUCCCUGUCUCUUAUAC